This 1451-nucleotide long non-coding RNA is filed under the name Homo sapiens (human). RNAcentral's name for it is "non-protein coding lnc-GINM1-6:1". The record is from RNAcentral. Lineage: Eukaryota; Metazoa; Chordata; Mammalia; Primates; Hominidae.
AUUAUGCAUUCUUUGUGACUCAGUCUAGAUGGGGUAAGAAAUGUCAAACUUAAGAUUAAAUGUUUUUAUGAUGAGUAGAAAACCAAGAUGAAAUAUGUUUUUCAGUAACUAAAAAGCAACUAAUUUAUUAAAAGACACUUGUAAAAGUAUGAUUGCUGAGUGUAUUUAAAGUUUCUUUUAUUUAGCCUUUAAUAGUUCUGAUCAAAAUCUUUGAAAAUUCAACUGGUAAGAAAGAUUAAGCUGAAACCUUACAGUGAAGUUAUAAUAACUGAGAAAUGUUAGGCUCCAAAUAGUUUUGGUGUUUUGUUUUGUUUUGUUUCAUUUUUUGUUUUUGAGAUGCAGUUCCACUCGUCACCCAGGCUGGAGUGCAAUGGCACGAUCUCGGCUCACUGCAACCUCCGCCUCCCAGGUUCAAGCAAUUCUCCUGCCUCAGCCACCUGAGUAGCUGGGAUUACAGGCACCUGCCACCACACCCAGCUAAUUUUUGUGUUUUUAGUAGGGACAGGGGUUCACGAUGUUGGCCAGGUUGGUUUCGAAUUCCUGACCUCAGGUGAUCCGCCUGCCUCAGCCUCCCAAAGUGCUGGGAUCACAGGUGAGCCACCACACCCAGCCCCAAACAGCUUUUUAACUUAAAAAAUAUCUGACUACCAACAGCUCACUCAAUCUUUUUUCCGGGGGAGGGGUUGCGGGGACAGGUUAGCAAAAGCCAGUAGAAUAUAUAAAUGGAGACUGGUUUUAAGAGUUCACCUAAAACCUAGAGAAGCAAAAGAGAAGAAAUAGGAAACAUGGCCACUUUACCGUAGAUUAGUAGUAGUAUCAUGAAGCCAAGACUGCGCUGCAUCUAAUCAAGGAUACGUGAUGAACACUACGUUUCUGUACACACAUCUUUGUUAAAACCAGUUUCUCAUACCUAAUUGCAGCAUUUGCAAUUAAGGAGAGUUUUGCCUUGCAAUGAUAGGUUCAAACAUUUUUACUACUUUGGUUUUUCCCACUGGAUCUACUGAAUCAAGCUUCGGGAGUGAGGAGGUUAUUUCCUCUCACUGCUCCAUCACCUGCAACCAACAUUUCUCCCUUGUGCAUUCAUUCUUUCAGACUACAUUUUAGAAUCUUCUGUAUGAACAGUAUGUAUUUUUCUAUAUUCAGAGUGAUAGUUUCUUAUGUAUUUAAAAUGUUUUCUAUUCAUGGCUAAGAAUUAUGUACAAUAGCAGGGAGACAACUGCUCUUAGCUGUAUGGUGAACUAGAUAUUCUGAAUUGUAACCGCCCCCUCCCACCUCCUCCAUACAACAUCCACAUGCUGGAUAAAUUACAGCAAUCAUACUUUAUUUAUUUAGAGAUGGCGUUUCACUCUUGUUGCCCAGGCUGAAGUGCAAUGGUGUGAUCUCAGCUCACUGCAACCUCCGCCUCCCGGGUUCAAGGAAUUCUUCUGCCUCAGCGUCCCGAGUAGCUGAGA